This is a long non-coding RNA of Scylla paramamosain (green mud crab), 1704 nucleotides long. RefSeq lists it as uncharacterized. The transcript has 4 exons. Lineage: Eukaryota; Metazoa; Arthropoda; Malacostraca; Decapoda; Portunidae. The record is from RefSeq and is a predicted model, not a curated record.
AGUUGAUAAAGACAUGCUGUUGCUACAAUGAGACAGAUCAUUUGUUGUGGGGGCUGUUGAACCACACUUAACAAGCUGAGGGAAGUGUAAAAUAUGUGGUCAUUUAUAUAUUUUGGUUGUGUGCAAGUACGGUGAGACAAGUCAUAAAGGUUCACAUGACUGCUGUACUGACAGGUGUGACCCUUUUAUUCAGUGUGGAGCCUGCAGGGGCUGACAGAUGAUAUGGAGUGUUUAAGUCACUAUAACAGCAGUUUUGUUUUGUAUCUGAUGAAAUUUUUAAGGAUGCUAAUGAAGGUCAGUAUUGACUUUUUUUUAAGGAGGCAAGAUAAAAGAUAUUUUGUAGCUUUAUUCAUCCAUAUACAGUAUGUACAGUAUUAGUAACAAGGGGAACCCACCAACCUCCUUGUAAUCUCCUAAAUUUCAUUUUCAUCUUCCUUUUUCCAUUCUCCCUUUAUUGCAUAUUUUCAGAAGUUCUUAUAUCCUUACCCACUGUCUUUUUUCUCUUCACCUCCCCUUUCCUUCUGUUCCAUUUCCUGGUGAUGGCACAGAAUUAUCAACAACAAGCUUUUGAUGGCUGAGGAUGAAGCCCGAAUAAACCAGAUACAGGCCAGGUCAUUAGCAGCAGGCAUGGCCGCCGUGCCCUCCAAGCCCGGGUGUUGAACCUGAGACCAAGCCAGAGUGAGGGCAGUGUCAUUCCUCCUGUCCACUACCCCAACUUCUACUCCCAACACUACCACAGCAAUGAGCGGUCUGGUGUGGUGGCUGAGGAUUCUUUUGAAGAGGACAACGCUUCUGCUUCAUCUGAGCAGGUGGUGAGCUACAGCUACCUGGCUGCACCUCAAGGCCAAAGCCACUCCAAAGAUGUGGUCUAUGGGUCUAGUGCAGCAGCCAAGCCUCCUUCCUCUGGCCACAGCUUCUCUGCCAGAUCUCCAACUCUUGGCCAGACACUUUCACUGGAAACUCAGAAAUCUGGUCAUACAGCAGCUCCUGGCCAUGCCUCAGACCAUACUCACCUCAGCACUACACCACCUGUUAUUACGUUAUUACUGCCUUCCAGUCCUCAAAAUUAUCUCACAUUUCCUCUUCCCCAUUAGUCCAUUCCUCAUCAUUCUCUGCACCAUCACCUUUUUUCUCCUCAUCCUUCUCACCUUCUGCUCACUCAUCAUCUCCCCCACAACCAUCACUCCCUCCUGCCUCUCCAUUUACUCAUCCUGAAGCCAUAUUUGCCAUGCACCAAACUUCUGCCACAGUUCACCCUGCUGAUCCCAGCCAAUUUAUCAUCAAGGACUCCACUUUCCAGUGCGUGUGUCAAGGCUGAAGGAAGGACUUGGAUAGUGAAUGUGAUAGUGUGGGUGAUUGGGCCACUCAGGAAAAAUUAUACGAUCAAUCAUACAAAAGUGUGAUGCAUGCUUCAAGUGCCAAUGAAGAGCAUUAUGAUAAGGAUAUAUAUAUAUAUAUAUAUAUAUAUAUACUCGUAUAUAUAUGCUUGGCUUUUGUCUCCAAACUCUCCCCCAUAGAGAGACUGUAUUAACCUGCAGAAAUAAAGCUAUCAUUCAGGGAAACUGGUUUGUUUGCCAAACAAACAUUACAUUGCUGAAUAUUCUGUGGCACAAAAUGCUUUGUCAGGAAUUGUGGCAAUGAUAUUUCAAUCCUUGUCUUUGUAUCCUACAAUUUGUAUGCUGAACAUAAACCUUAUCAACAAGU